Molecule: transfer RNA, 77 nt
Filed under: Sulfurovum sp. FS08-3
Lineage: Bacteria; Pseudomonadati; Campylobacterota; Epsilonproteobacteria; Campylobacterales; Sulfurovaceae
Description: tRNA-Arg
Rfam family: tRNA
About the family: Transfer RNA (tRNA) molecules are approximately 80 nucleotides in length. Their secondary structure includes four short double-helical elements and three loops (D, anti-codon, and T loops).
Source: RNAcentral
GCACCCAUAGCUUAGCUGGAUAGAGCAUCGGUUUGCGGUACCGAAGGUCUUAGGUUCGAAUCCUAAUGGGUGUACCA